GACCUCAAAUCAGGUAGGACUACCCGCUGAACUUAAGCAUAUCAAUAAGCGGAGGAAAAGAAACUAACAAGGAUUCCCCUAGUAACUGCGAGUGAAGCGGGAAAAGCUCAAAUUUAAAAUCUGGCAGUCUUGGCUGUCCGAGUUGUAAUCUAGAGAAGUAUUAUCCGCGCUGGAC
This 175-nucleotide ribosomal RNA is filed under the name uncultured Laccaria. RNAcentral's name for it is "partial 28S ribosomal RNA". It matches the Rfam family "Eukaryotic large subunit ribosomal RNA", at positions 1 to 175 of the family's 3401-position model. The record is from RNAcentral. Lineage: Eukaryota; Fungi; Basidiomycota; Agaricomycetes; Agaricales; Tricholomataceae.